Molecule: ribosomal RNA, 377 nt
Filed under: Staphylococcus aureus
Lineage: Bacteria; Bacillati; Bacillota; Bacilli; Caryophanales; Staphylococcaceae
Description: partial 23S ribosomal RNA
Rfam family: Bacterial large subunit ribosomal RNA
Source: RNAcentral
GUGGCGUUGCCCAGACAACUAGGAUGUUGGCUUAGAAGCAGCCAUCAUUUAAAGAGUGCGUAAUAGCUCACUAGUCGAGUGACACUGCGCCGAAAAUGUACCGGGGCUAAACAUAUUACCGAAGCUGUGGAUUGUCCUUUGGACAAUGGUAGGAGAGCGUUCUAAGGGCGUUGAAGCAUGAUCGUAAGGACAUGUGGAGCGCUUAGAAGUGAGAAUGCCGGUGUGAGUAGCGAAAGACGGGUGAGAAUCCCGUCCACCGAUUGACUAAGGUUUCCAGAGGAAGGCUCGUCCGCUCUGGGUUAGUCGGGUCCUAAGCUGAGGCCGACAGGCGUAGGCGAUGGAUAACAGGUUGAUAUUCCUGUACCACCUAUAAUCGU